Molecule: long non-coding RNA, 8716 nt
Filed under: Equus caballus (horse)
Lineage: Eukaryota; Metazoa; Chordata; Mammalia; Perissodactyla; Equidae
Description: lncRNA (ENSECAG00000060201.1)
Source: RNAcentral
CCCAACCACUUUCCUGGGGUUUGAAUCUAUCAGAUCUAUCCAGGAGAGCAGGUUCAGUUUAGAUUUUGGAGUCUGCCACUUCAUGGACUUUCUCUCGGAGUAAGCCUGGGCCCCUAAUAUCAGACUUCAGUAACUAAUCUUUGAAAUACAUGCAGUGACCUCCCCUGCGUGCAUAUUUGCCCCAAGUUGGGCUGGAUUAGGGCAGAUCCCAUCAUACACUGCCUCAUGGACUCAAAAAUCACUGUGUUUCCUCCAGUGGCUCAGUUCUGGGGCUCAGUGCUGGAUAUUGAUCCUCCCCUUAUGCUUUCGUGAUAACCUUAGUUCAUAAAACUCACUGAGUUUCUGUGUGACUAGCCUGAAUCUGUACAAUCCAGGCUCCCUGACUCCAAAUCUCAGAGAAAAGGCAGUGGGAUAUUGUUUUCAUCCCUUGCAGAGGGUCUCAAGUUUCCUUAAGCAAAAUUUCCCUCCCUAUGGCUGUACUAAAUAAGAGGAGAGGCUCACUUUGCUAAGAGGAUAAUGAAUUCCCAUGUACCAGAGCUGAGGGUAUAUUGGCCUCAUAGAUACAUAACUAAAGGGGCUGUUCAACUGACUUCGCAGAGCCAAAAAGACCCCACAAAAACACCAAAAAAACAUUCCAAGAUUAUCUUCUAUUUCCUCUUGUUCUGUGAGCAUAGGGCAGCCAAAAUAAUAGUGCUAGUCAUGAUAAAACUAAGCUAUGGCAGGGCACUCCCUUAUCCAGAUGAAACCAGCACCCCUCUGAAGUUGGAGUGGAAGGCUUGAGUUUACCUGUUUGGUCUCUUUCUUUUCUCAAUCCAGCCCACCGCCGGGUCAUAUCCAACAGAUGGCAAAUUUCUUUUUGAAAAUCUUGUAGAGUCAGUUUCAAACAUCUAAUGUAUUUCUCCCCCAAAAUACACUGCAUCAUAUUCAGCAAAUUUAUCCUUAAAUAAUCCCAGGGCCUCCUCUGUCACCAUUUUGUUCCCAGAGAACUCCCUCCUGGAACUUUCUUUCCUCUGCUCCGCUCGGGGCUGAUCACUCUCUAGGCUGCCCCACGGUGGCCCUGGGGACUUCACCUGGCUGGUCUCCUGGGUUAAAUUCAGGAUCCCAGGUGUAACAGGAUGUGAAGUGAGAUUUUUCCUCAUAUCCCAGAAUUACAGAUAGAGCACAGAUGUGAAGACCAGAGGCACUUAGUUCUCCAUAUUCUGAAGAGAGCUACCAGCGAAACCUCACACCUGCCUUCCAGGGCUUGAAGGAAGGCUGGGCAAGUGGAAUUUUGUCAGAGAGUUUAAUGGAAAAGAUUGGUAAGCCUGCUAGAAGGGGGAGAGGGGCAUCUUGUUUCUCACGUGGAUGCUUGAUGAGCUGCAGAACCUGUAGGUCUACCCUGGAACUGUGGUGAUGAAAAGUUUUGGGCGUCUGGCUUGUGUCCCCUGGAGAUUAGGGCAAACAUGAAUAUAGAGACUGGUGCCUAUUUCUAGUCUAGAAAUUUCUGAGAGAGUCCCUCUGCAUUAGGCCAGGCUUAUGGGGCUUGAAAAGACUCUGGCACAGUAUACCUAAAGGAAGAAGGAGACAAUUCCUUAUCAUAUCCGGUUGAAGAGGACACAGAAGUUGUUGAAGCUCCUCAGAAAGAAGCAUGGAAGAUGGAUGAAGAGCAGGAGCCCAGGACUUUUCUGGUGGCCGCUGAGCCAACCGAUGGAGUUCCCAACCAGGAGGAGCUGUUGUGAGCGGAAGACUGCCUUUAUCUGAGGUGGUUCUGUUCUGAGAAGCAUACCCUGUCUUCUCCCUGGGGACCAUUCAUUGUGGUGGCCAUGUGGUAAGCCAAUUUCAAUCUGCAGAUUAGCGCAGUUUGGUUUUGAAAAAUUUUCUUUUAUUAUUGUUUUGAAACUAUCCUUCAUCUACGUUUUCUCUCUCUCUCUUUCUAUUAAUCAGAUGUUGGGUCUUCUAACCCAAUCCUCUAAAUCUUUUAUUGUUUCUUCCAUGUAUUCCAUCUGAUUGCUUAUUUUUCAUCCUACUCAUUGGAACUUUCUUCCUUCUUUCAACUUUAUUUUCCACAAUUUCUAUUUAAAUGUUUGCUUUUGGCUCUCAUAUUUUUUAAUUUCAAGAAUUCUUUCUGGUCCCUUGCUUAUUCCUUAUUCAUAUCAAACAUUUUUUUUUAAGUGGAUGGAAUAUCUUCUCUUAUCUCUUUGAUUUUUUUUAAGUUUCCUGAAAUAUUUCUGUUUCUUCCAGAUUCCUUUUUUUCCUCAUGAGACAUUGAUAUGCAUGAGUGGGGCUUGUGAAUUAAUGGCCUCUACAUCAGAGUGUCUGGAUUCAAGGAGAGGCUAUUUAAACCUUCUUGGCCUCUGAUCUUCAUCUAUAAAUUGGGUAUGAUAAAAAUUACCUCCCUUACAGACUUGUUAUUAGGAUUAAAUGGAAUAAUAUAUUGGCACUUGUUGAGGCAGUCCAUAGAGAUCUGCCACUUGGGGAAUAGAGCAAAGUGGAGAAUGGAGCUGAAGGGGCAAGUGGAAAAUGUCCAGCCCAGUACUCAAUAAAUGUUCACUCAUUCAAUAGUUCAAUAAAUAUUUACUGAUUACCUAAUAUAUGCUAAGCCAUUAUUUUAGGCAAGGAGAUAUAUCUUAUGGAGUUUACAUUCUAGUGAGUGGCUCUUAAAUUCUAAUGGGUGAAUAUAGAAAAGUGAUAAUAAAUAUCAUAAAUAAGUCAAUUAUAUAACGAGUUAAGUAAUAAGUGAAUAAUAUAAAGGGCAUUGAGGGUGCCAAUGGAUAGUAAGGGUGGCUUGCAACUUAAAUGGGAAAGUUGGGUAGGCCUGUUGAGAAGGUGACAUUACAGCAAAGACUUGACAGAGGUACAACAGUGACCUAUGUUUACAUCUUGGGGAGGAGUGUACCAGGAAAUGGAAUUGGUCAGUACAAAGCCCUAAGGCAGGACCAUGCCAGAGGAGUUUGAGGAGCCAAUGUGUCUGGAGCAGAACAGGAGAGAAAGUCAGAGAGGGAACAAGAGGCUUGAUUGUGUAGAGUUUUGUAGACAAUUGGAAGGACUUAGCUUUUACUCUGAGUGAAACAGGGCACCACUGGGGGCUUUGGAACAGAGGAGUGACCUGAUCUGACUUGCAUUUUAACAUUGUCAUUGUGGCUACUUUGUUGACAGUAGUCCUAGGGGGGCAAAGGUAUAAGAGACUAGUUAGGGCCCUGUCACAAGAAUCCAGCUGAGAUGGUAACAGUGGAGGUGGUAAGAAGGGGUCAAGUUCUGGUUAUAUUUUGUAAGGAGAGCCAAUAAUGGAUUGGAUGUGAGAAAGAGAGAGGAGUCAAUCCUGACUUCAAAUUUUUAGACUGAGAAAUUGACACUAUGGAGUUGCCAUUAAAAGAGGUGAGGAAAAUUAUAGAUGGAGUAAGUUUGGAGAGGAAGAUCAGGAGUUUAGUUUUGGACAUAUGAAAUUUGAGAUAUUUAUUAGAAAUCUAAGUGGGGAUAUCAAAAGGCAGUUGGAUGUAGGAAUCUGGUGUUCAGUGAGGCAAUCUGAGGCACUAAUAUGAACUUGGGAGUCCUGAUAUUAUAAAUGGGAUUAAAACCCAUGAGACUGGGUGAUAGCCCCACUAUAAUGCAUAUAGAAAAGAGAAAAGGGGCCAACCCGGUGGCAUAGUGGUUAAGUUUGCGUGCUCCACUUCAGAGACCUGGGGUUCGUGGGUUCAGAUCCUGGACAUGGACCUACACUCUGCUCAUCAAGCCAUGCUGUGGCAGCAUCCCACAUGCAAAAAAUAGAGGAAGAUUGGCACAGAUGUUAGUUCGGGGGACAAUCUUCCUCAAGCAAAUAGAGGAAGAUUGGCAACAGAUGUUGGUUGAGGGUCACUGUUCCUUGCCAAAAAAAAAAAAGAGAGAGAAGAGUUUCAAAAUGUCAGCCCUGAGGCAUGCCAACAUUAAGGGGUUGGGGGAAAAAAACGAAAGAAAAGGAAACUGAGAUGAAGCAAUCAGUUUGGAGUUUGGAGGAAAAACAAGAGAGCGUGGUAUGCUGGAUGACAAUUGAAGGAAGGAUUUCCAGGGGGAAGAGAGCUAUCAGUGAGGGAAUUGCUGCUGAUAUGCCCUGUAAGAGGAGGACUAAGAAUUGAGGUUUAGUGGUGACCUAGUGAGAGCAGAUCUGGAGGACUGGUGGGGCUGAAACCCUGUGAGGUGGAGAAAGAGAGGAACUGAGACUGCUAGUAAGACAACUCUUUCAAGGAGUUUGCCCUAAAUGGGAACAGAGAAAUGAUGUGGUAGCUAGAGGAGGAAUGUGGGGUUACGACUCUCAUUUUUAUUUUUAAUAUGUGAGAAAAAAACAGCACUUUUAUUUUUCAGCAUAAACAGCAUGUCUAUUUACUAUCAGUAGGACUUGAGAUAAAGGUAAAAAUGGAUGGUGUAGGAGAGAAAAGGGGAAUGUAUCAGUCUGGGACCUGGCAAGAAGCACAUGGUACACACAAAUGGAGUAAUUUGAAGAGAAUUUUAAACAGGAUUAUUUAUUAUACAAAAUUAUGGUCAGGAUAUAAGGAAAACAUAGGGAUACUGCAAUACCUUGGAUGAGUUAUGGUUUGGCAUCAAUACCAUCUUUUGACAUGAAGAGGCAAGGGGAGGGGAAAGGGUACCAGAACCUAGAGAAUGAGACCUGUGUGCAGAGAGCUAUUUGUCCCAUUGAGCCAGCCCAUGGGGAGGGAGCUGGAACAAUAAAUGUCUUACCUUCACUUUCCUCUUUCCUACCAUCCCUGGUCCUUUCCUGGGACCACCAUCCUUCUCAUUAGCCAAAAUAAUCUGGAAGCCAGAGGACAGGGGAACCUGUUGAUUCAGGUCAGACUUCCUGGCAUAGAGCAGGGUAGGGGAAGGUGGAAAAUGGAUCUGGAGAGGCAAAUGGGAAAAAUUCUGCACAGGGAGAAUUGGUUGACUGACGACCUUGGGUGAGUGAGAGAAAAAGAACCUGGUGGACGGUGGAAGAAUUAGCCACAGAUAGGAACACCUCUAGUUCGUGCUCAGGACAGGAGAGAAGGCAGAGUGACAGGGCGCAAAUGCUGGUCAGGUAGGAUGAUGUGAUUCAGGUAGGAGGUUAGGGAUGCUUUUCUCUUCUGAUUCCUUCAAGUUUCUCAGGGAGGUAAGGAGCAAGGUCAUCAGAUUGAGCACGAGAUGUUUGUAUGUGUGGUAUUAAGGAAGCUGGGGUAUGCUUAUAAUUGUGCAUUGUUUGCUAGUUGGGGACUGCAACUAUACUUUUGCACUUCUGUCAUUUAUCUUUACUGCCCCGUGUCCUCAUAAACAUAUUCUCUUUUUUAGUCAGGUCUGUCUCCUCAUCACUCCAGUGCCCUCCAAGCUUACGUAUUCACAUUCUUUCAUCUGAAAUAAAGUACCCAUCCCUUUGUUUGUCAGUUUUCAACGUCUAAUGCCAAGCAUACUUCCUUCAUGAAACCCUCAUUAACUACUCCAUCCCGCACUAUCGUUUCUCUUCAAUUCACCCUACUUUAACUUGCAGUGAAUACCACACAAUUCUGGCUUUGUUUUCUAAUUGUUUCCUGUUAUUCUUGGUCUCUGAACUUGGUCGUAAGAUCAUCCAUAGCAAGAACAAUUUCUUUUUUGUCAUCCUCCCACAGUGAUGAGUGCAGACUUGUAAUAAGUGCUCAUUGAAUAGUUAUUACAUCCAGUAUCCAUUCAGAGCCUGCAGUGAAUCUGGGGUAACCAUGCUGGCAGUGAUUUUAAUAUAACUUUUUUUUUUUUUUUUUUAAGGAAGAUUAGUCCUGAGCUAAUAUCCGCUGCCAAUCCUCCUCUUUUUGCUGAGGAAGAUCGGCCCUGAGCUGACAUCUGUGUCCAUCUUCCUCUAUUUUAUAUGUGGGACACCUGCCUCAGCAUGGCUUGAUAAGUGUUGUGUAGAUCUGAACCUGGGAUCUGCCAAACCUGCGAAUCCUGGGCUGUUGAAUUGGAACAUGCGAACUUAACCUCUACGUCACCAGGCUGGCCCCUGAUAUUCCUUUUUUAGCUACAUAAUCCAAAGGAAAUUGUGAACAACACUUGGAAGGGGGAAAAAAAAAAUGUCUUUUCCAAUGGCUGUGAUAGCUGAAUUAUAAUUAUAGCUAAAUAUGAACCAGAUGCAUUUACUUGACACAUUACAGUUAUUGCAGGAAAAUAUUCUGAGUUUGUUAGCCUUUUGUAAACCAGAGAUUCUCAAUUCUGGUUGUAUUGGUUUUGUAUCUGGAUGUACCUGAAGCUAUUAGAAAUUGAUCAUCUGAGAGCCAAACAAACAGCAAGCUUGAGAGACAUUUGACUGAAUAUGGAUUCUUUCUGCUUCCCUCCUCCUUGCUAACUCUAAUGUAACUAGUCACCAAAUUCUGCUGGUUCUAGAUCUGAAAUGACUCUCAAUUGUCUGGGCAUCUCAAAUUUAACUUGCCCCAAACCAAAUCUUUAUAUUCUCCCUAACAUGCUACACUCUUUCCUCAUCCACCUAAACCUUGAAAUAAUUCUGGAUUCUAUUUUUCCCAUCUCCACACUGAAUCCAUCCAAUUCUGUCAGCUCUACCUUCAGAAGAUAUUGUAAUUCAGACCUCAUCACAUGUCCUGCUGUUUCCUACUCCAGGCCUCUAGAUAAAUAUGAAUCAUGGAUAUCAUCAACAUUAUAUGUAACAUUUAGAAUAUGUCUUGGAGUGAUCAUUUAAAACCAUGAAUUGUGUUUUUUCCUUUGCUCACAAACGUCCCCUGACUUUCCAUCACACCUAGAGUAAAAUCCACAGCCCUUACUGUGGCUUAGAAGACUCUAUAAAUCUGGGCCUACUUCUCCCUCUGACUUCAUGGCCCCCCACACUUUCCCCUUGUCAUUGCCUUCCAACCACACUGCCCAUCGUGCCAUUCCUUGAAAACCACAAGCAUGCUCUUGCUGCUUUCUCAUCUUGGAAUAAUCUUCUUCCCAUAUUUCUGCAUGGCUUACCUUCUCAGUUAACUCAGAUCUUUGCUCAAAUUAGUAACUCCUAAAUGAUUGCAUGUUACUGGGACUUGGAUGGGAAUAUAGCUGGGAGAGGAUAAUGUUAGAUUUUAUCAUCCCUCCAAGGCAAGCUAUUUAACCACUGUCCUUUCUAUAAAACCAAACACGACUGUUGAGGUUUGAUAAGGCACUUGCAACUUUCUACCUUUUUGGCCCAUCUGUUAACAGAAGGGAAUGUUCUGUUACCUAGAAAAAGAACCUAAAGAUAGGAGGCAUGUUCACUUCUGCAAAGCAAGCCACCCUUGUAGAAUAUCCCAAGAUUAAAGAAAUCCCAACAUUGCUGGGUAUCAGCCUCUCUGGGUGUGGAUUAUUAAGAAGAUAUAGGAUAAUCAGAAAGAAUCUUAUUAAGAUUUCUGAGUUUAUACAUAAACUCGGAUAAUAAAACUUCCCUGAUAAUAAAACUUCUUUGGAGCAUUCUAAUCUAUAGAGUUACCUCCUGUUUUAUUAAUGCCAGUUCGACCCACUCUUACUGGGUAAUAGAACUAUGAAUUUCUGUUCAGUAUGGGUGUGAAUACAUGCGUAUGUGUGUGUAAGCAUGUGUAUAUAACACUAAGCCUUUCUCCUUAGUGUCUCUCAUUUGUAGAAAUAAUAUUCCCCCUUUUAUUUGAUUCUUUUUUCCUCCUGGGACUUCCCCAGUGGCGUAAAUUCUGAACCAGAUUGGCUUUACACCAUCCCAAGUAAGACAUUGUUUUGGUUAACGUAGCUCUGAAAUCUUUGGCUGUUAGUACUUGAAGGGAGAAGUCUUCAUUAGUACCUAUUUCAGGGGGCCUCAUUCCCCCUCCCUAAUCCCCCUACUACUGUCCUAGGAGUUGUGGAGGAUUACAGUGAACUGUCUGAGUCCUCACUCUUCAGAAGGAAUGCUUUAGGGGUAGUGCUUUGAGGGUGGGUGGGUAGAAAGAUACUAGUUACCUCCCUCUCCUUUCAGUGAUCACUCAGAAAGGAAAAUGUGGGUUUCCACAGAGGAAGAUAAAUUUACCCUUCUGUGCUUGCAGUUGUGCGCAGUACUUGGAAUUUCCUGGCAUCUACUGCCACCACGUGGAUAUUUACAGUUACUGAAUUCAAACUUGAGUGUUUUCCUGUUAAGCCUGUUCCUAAGCCAAAACACAAAGAAUUGUUCUUUGGGUUGUGGCUGCAUCUCUCCAAUCUCUUCCUCCACGGUCACAUCAUCUUCUCUUCUUUGAUGAAUAAUCUCCCUCUGCCUCUCUCUUUUAAGGACACUUGUGAUUGCAGUUAGGGCACACCUGGAUGUUCCAGGAUAAUCUGUCUCAAGAUCCUCAACUUAAUGCCAUCUGCAAAGCUUUUUUUUGCCAUGUAAGGUAACCUUCCUAGGUUCCAGGGAUUUGGAUGUAGAUGUCUUUUGGGGGGCCAUUAUUCAGCCUGCUAUGAGUGUUGAUGGAGGGAAAAAUAUAGUGAGUUCAGUUUUUGAAUGGUGAGAUGUUCAGUUACCUUGGAAGCAGUUAGGAAAACAAGACUUGAAUUUACUAAUAUAUAAAAGGUGAGGAAUGUAAUUAUAUAUUAGUUGUUUAUUAAAAUCAAGGAGAUAGCUGAAGCUUUGAGAGUAGACAUGGUUAUGCAAGCACAAACCAAACUCAUCUUUAUAAAACAUGCAAUGCUGGGUAUUGGACGAAAAGCAAGCUCAGGUCAGAUGUCUGCAAAGCAAUGAGAACUGUGUGUCUACCAGCAGAUGUGUUUAUCAGGUAAUUAAGCUUGCUUGCUUUCUUUGUAUCUAUCUAUCUACCUACCUGUCAUCCAC